UGCGAUGAGUCGAGAGAAUCUUCAUUUAGAAGAUUUUUACAAACGGCCUAUAUUAACAGCCGCAUGCUGGUAGGUGAUUAAACGUGUUGUGGAACAC
This 97-nucleotide non-coding RNA is filed under the name Weissella viridescens. RNAcentral's name for it is "Enterococcus sRNA 68 (Lacto-3 RNA)". It matches the Rfam family "Enterococcus sRNA 68 (Lacto-3 RNA)". Rfam says of the family: Name 'Ref' stands for RNA in E. faecalis. Also known as Lacto-3 RNA. Lactobacillales (Firmicutes). Lineage: Bacteria; Bacillati; Bacillota; Bacilli; Lactobacillales; Lactobacillaceae. The record is from Rfam by way of RNAcentral.